This 484-nucleotide ribosomal RNA is filed under the name uncultured bacterium. RNAcentral's name for it is "partial 16S ribosomal RNA". It matches the Rfam family "Bacterial small subunit ribosomal RNA", at positions 30 to 507 of the family's 1533-position model. The record is from RNAcentral.
AUUGAACGCUGGCGGCAGGCCUAACACAUGCAAGUCGAGCGGAUGAAGGGAGCUUGCUCCUGGAUUCAGCGGCGGACGGGUGAGUAAUGCCUAGGAAUCUGCCUGGUAGUGGGGGAUAACGUCCGGAAACGGGCGCUAAUACCGCAUACGUCCUGAGGGAGAAAGUGGGGGAUCUUCGGAUCUCACGCUAUCAGAUGAGCCUAGGUCGGAUUAGCUAGUUGGUGGGGUAAAGGCCUACCAAGGCGACGAUCCGUAACUGGUCUGAGAGGAUGAUCAGUCACACUGGAACUGAGACACGGUCCAGACUCCUACGGGAGGCAGCAGUGGGGAAUAUUGGACAAUGGGCGAAAGCCUGAUCCAGCCAUGCCGCGUGUGUGAAGAAGGUCUUCGGAUUGUAAAGCACUUUAAGUUGGGAGGAAGGGCAGUAAGUUAAUACCUUGCUGUUCUGACGUUACCAACAGAAUAAGCACCGGCUAACUUCGUG